RNAcentral lists this ribosomal RNA (394 nucleotides) under uncultured bacterium. Its description in RNAcentral is "bacterial SSU rRNA". It matches the Rfam family "Bacterial small subunit ribosomal RNA", at positions 362 to 774 of the family's 1533-position model. The record is from RNAcentral.
UAUUGCACAAUGGGCGAAAGCCUGAUGCAGCAACGCCGCGUGAGCGAUGAAGGCCUUCUGGUCGUAAAGCACUGUCCUCAAGGAAGAUAAUGACGGUACUUGAGGAGGAAGCCCCUGCUAACUACGUCCCAGAAGCCGCGGUAAUACGUAGGGGGCUAGCGCUAUCCGGAAUUAUUGGGCGUAAAGGGUGCGUAGGUGGUUUCUUAAGUCAGAGGUGAAAGGCUACGGCUCAACCGUAGUAAGCCUUUGAAACUGGGAAACUUGAGUGCAGGAGAGGAGAGUGGAAUUCCUAGUGUAGCGGUGAAAUGCGUAGAUAUUAGGAGGAACACCAGUUGCGAAGGCGGCUCUCUGGACUGUAACUGACACUGAGGCACGAAAGCGUGGGGAGCAAACA